This 89-nucleotide non-coding RNA is filed under the name Sphingomonas sp. RNAcentral describes it as "Glycine sequence". It matches the Rfam family "Glycine riboswitch aptamer". Rfam says of the family: This family represents the bacterial glycine riboswitch. Glycine riboswitches usually consist of two metabolite-binding aptamers domains with similar structures in tandem. RNAcentral also lists the same sequence under 1 other name. Lineage: Bacteria; Pseudomonadati; Pseudomonadota; Alphaproteobacteria; Sphingomonadales; Sphingomonadaceae. The record is from RNAcentral.
CUGCCACGCGCGGGAGAGUGCGGACGUGUCCGCCGCCGAAGGAGCAACCGCCCCGGAAUCUCUCAGGCAACAGGGACCGCGCGGGGUAC